RNA transcript from Papaver somniferum (opium poppy), 2263 nucleotides. It is a transcript of the gene named UDP-N-acetylmuramoylalanine--D-glutamate ligase-like, with no coding region annotated. The record is from RefSeq and is a predicted model, not a curated record. The transcript is spliced from 15 exons. NCBI's taxonomy places the organism in Eukaryota, Viridiplantae, Streptophyta, Magnoliopsida, Ranunculales, Papaveraceae.
GAAACUGCAGUCUGUAUAAACCCCUAGCAGUAGCAGCUUUUGCCUAGCAAAAGGGAGAACUUGAAUACUACAAACCCUCUCCCGCGUGGUAAAUUAUCAAGCUUGCUAGUGUAAUGCAGUAUAAAUGAUGGCGAUUUCAGCAAAUUAUUGUUUUGGAACCCUAGCCCGAAAAUCAAACUCCAAGUUUGUUCACCAUGGGAUAAUUCGAAGUUCUUUUUCUCCUAAAGAUGAUCUUAGAGGACAGACUGUAGUUGUUGUUGGUUUGGGUGCUUCUGGAAGAUCAGCUGCCAGGCUUGCUCUUACAAGAGGUGCUUCAGUUUUGGCGAUUGAUAAGAAUGAGAAGUUGGUUCCACUCGAGCAUGAUCCCUUGUUUGAGAAGUAUGAUAAUUUGAGAACGAUGCUUGGACAUUGUGAUAGAGAUAUCUUAGAGAAGGCAGAAAGGGUGGUUGUUUCCCCUGGAGUUCCUCUUCAGAACUAUGGUCUUUCAUCACUUCUGCAGUCAGGUAGGCAAGUGAUCUCUGAGAUUCAGUUUGCAUCAGAAGUUCUUCCAAAAUCCAUCAAAGUUUUAGCAGUAACAGGAACUAAUGGAAAAUCUACUGUUACAUCUUUUGCUGGACAGAUGCUUACUCAUCUAGGCUUCAAGACAUUCAUUGGAGGGAAUCUUGGGACCCCACUUUCAGAAGCUUCAAUUCUAUGCUUGACGUCCAGUGUGCAAACUAAAUAUCAGGUUGCAGUGGUUGAGGUCAGCAGCUACCAAAUGGAGAUUCCAAGCAAGUGCUUUUGUCCUUCGGUCGCUGUGGUCUUAAACCUAGCUCCUGAUCAUCUGGAGAGACACAAGACGAUGCAGGAUUAUGCAUCAAUUAAAUGUCGUGUAUUUUCUCACAUGAGUCACAGCAAGCUGGCAGUUCUUCCCAUUGGUAAUGAACAUUUGAAUAAAGCUUUCAGAAAUUAUGCACACAACUGCCAUGUUGCUUGGUUAGGUGCUCAUCCAGGUGUCAAGAUUGACAUGGAAGCAAAGGUUGCUGACUUGAAAUUACCCUCCAAGGGAAUUGAUUCUCGGGUACAAUUGGGAUCAAUGAAGGCAAUGGGGAACCACAACUAUCACAAUGCAGCAGUUGCUGCACUUUCUGUACUCGGUUUGGAUAUGGGGAUUGAAGCUGAUUCUAUCAGUGAACUAGCAGAGACAUUGAAAAGUCUACCACAUCGGAUGCAAAUUGUACAUAGAGAUACAUAUGGGGUAACGUGGGUGGAUGACAGCAAGGCAACAAACGUGGAAUCAACGUAUACAGGGCUGAUGGGUCUUAAAGAACAGAAGGCAGUGGUUUUACUUGGUGGUGUUGCGAAGGUAAUAGAGGAUACAAAUUCUAAUGGUUUCAGAAAGCUAGUGGGACCUCUAAUGCACCAUAGGUGUGUCAUUACAUUUGGAUUUUCAGGGAGUAUGAUUUACGAGACAUUGCAGGCUGGUGGUCUAACAAUACCAUGUAUUAGAGUUAAAACUCUGGAGGAUGCUGUGAGCUGCGCAAGGAGCAUUGCUGAAAAUGGAGAUACUAUUGUACUAACUCCUGGUUGUGCAAGCUUUGACGAGUUCAAAAAUUUUGAGCACAGAGGGAAGGUCUUUCAGAAAUUGGCCUCCACAUCCUGAUAAUUUUGUGAUCUGGCCUUCAGAGGCAAGAGACACCUUGUACUUAGUAGAGGUUUUUUGUGUCUAAAAACUAAGAGCAAAAGGUGAUGGGAGUGGAAUGCAAGUUGUUGCUUAUUCAAAAUAUAAUAUUUAAGGUGGCAGGUUUGAAGUGAUGAACACAUGUUAGCACUUCAGCAUUUGUUCUUGAUGCUAGUUAUAACUCCACCCUCUAUAUCAAGGAGAGUCAGAACUUCAGGUCUGCAAGUUGGAAUAACCAAUACAAUACCGAUAGGAUGCUGGAAGUAUGUGGCAGCUGGCUAAACCCCUAUGGUUAGAAAACUUUGUGUAUUACAUUGGAUAUUUGCACGUCAAUCUGAUUGUAUGUCUCAGAUGGAUCAUGGCCAGGGAAAAGUUGUGUACUGCAUAAUUCUUGAGGUCAUUAGCUAGUUUUUUCUCUAGGUUGUUAUACAUAUUCUUUUAGUGAACUGUCACUAAGAAGAUAGACCUUCUCUUGCUAAAUUAUAAAAGCUUCACUGAUAAAGGAUGUAUAUUUCACUAUCCUGUCCUGGGUUAUCUUAAGUCUUUGAACGCCGAAGAACUUAAACUUUGUAACAUAUUAUUUUGUGAAAUUAGAUCUUCUUG